UCGCUCUCUGCACUCAACAAA
RNAcentral lists this non-coding RNA (21 nucleotides) under Caenorhabditis elegans. Lineage: Eukaryota; Metazoa; Nematoda; Chromadorea; Rhabditida; Rhabditidae. The record is from RNAcentral.